Molecule: non-coding RNA, 591 nt
Organism: Coturnix japonica (Japanese quail)
Lineage: Eukaryota; Metazoa; Chordata; Aves; Galliformes; Phasianidae
Source: the annotation of a RefSeq genome assembly
CGGCGCGGGCGCCGGAGCGGCUGGAUGUGGCAGUGCUGGGCUGCGGGGCUGGCGGCGAUGUUCCUGGUGGCUGUUAGCAGAGCUCAGGUGCAGCAGGAGCCGAUGACAGAGACCAGCGAGGGCACCGGCGUCAACAUCACCUGCUCACUCCCUGAAACACAGUACAACCAAGUCAUCCAGUGGUACCGUCAGCUCCCAGGCAGAGGACCCACAUUCCUCGUCAGCGCCGUUAAAGGAUCCAAGGAGGUGCCGGACCCGGCGGGGCGGCUGUUUGUGUCGGAAGACCUCCGUUCCAGCGCCCUGUGGCUCGCCAUGCCUCGGCUCGGGGACGCGGCGGUGUAUUACUGCGUCUUGGGCACACGGAGGGAGAAGCCGGGGCUGCGGCUGAGCACAAACCGCUUUGGGCGUAGCGGGGACACAGUGCCGUCGGGGCCCGCAGGGGGCGCUGCCUGCAGGGCCGCCAAACCCCAUCCUGACCAGAGUGCACCUCCCCGAGUUCUCGAGAGAAAUGAGCGUGGCACCCGUAGCAGUCACUGCCUGAGACCAGUGUCAGUCAAACACAUCUUGUUUAAGGUCAGCAUGACAGCGUAA